RNAcentral lists this ribosomal RNA (253 nucleotides) under uncultured bacterium. RNAcentral's name for it is "partial 16S ribosomal RNA". It matches the Rfam family "Bacterial small subunit ribosomal RNA", at positions 524 to 776 of the family's 1533-position model. The record is from RNAcentral.
UACGUAGGCAGCAAGCGUUGUUCGGAGUUACUGGGCGUAAAGAGUGUGUAGGUGGUGUCGUAAGUUUGGUGUGAAAUCUCCCGGCUUAACUGGGAGGGUGCGCCGAAGACUGCGAUGCUGGAGUAUGGGAGAGGAAAGCGGAAUUCCUGGUGUAGCGGUGAAAUGCGUAGAUAUCAGGAGGAACACCUGCGGUGUAGACGGCUUUCUGGACCAUUACUGACACUGAGACACGAAAGCGUGGGUAGCAAACAGG